Molecule: ribosomal RNA, 253 nt
Filed under: uncultured bacterium
Lineage: Bacteria
Description: partial 16S ribosomal RNA
Rfam family: Bacterial small subunit ribosomal RNA
Source: RNAcentral
UACGGAGGGUGCAAGCGUUGUUCGGAAUCAUUGGGCGUAAAGGGCGCGUAGGCGGACCUGCAAGUCGAUUGUGAAAGCCCUGGGCUUAACCCGGGAAUUGCAGUCGAAACUGCUGGUCUUGAAUGCUCGAGAGGAUGGUGGAAUUCCUGGAGUAGAAGUGAAAUUCGUAGAUAUCAGGAGGAACACCGGAGGCGAAGGCGGCCAUCUGGCGAGACAUUGACGCUGAGGCGCGAAAGCGUGGGGAUCAAACAGG